GGGGCAGGGUGUGUCCGGCAGGCGCAGUGGGGAGGAACCGGGAGCUGCUGGGACUAAAUGGCAGCUGGGUGCUCUCGGUGCAGAGAGCCACGGGCCUCGUGGAAGGUUCCAGAAAUUGUGUAACCGCACAACUGUGGGAAGCGAGCCACACCAGGGUCAUCCCUGCAGCUUCCCUGACGAGCCCCCUGGCCUGGGGAGGGGUGUGGUCACUUCCCAAGACAUUGCAUCACAGGAGAGUCUCUGCCACCCGUUAAGCACAGUUUGCUGUCUGUCUUCACAGGAAACGGUGACAGAAGAGAAAGCACGUUGCCUGAAAGCUCAGUGUCCUCGACACCUUUGAAUGGAGACCGAGAUGGGGACUCUUCAGUCCCCGUGACAGGAAACGGAAGCCUGUCUGAAGACAGCUUGGAUGUGGUAUCUAAGGUCCCGCCCUUCACGAGGACCCCGGAGAGCCUGGCGGGUGUCGAUGGCACACAGGCUGCGGCAGGUGAAGGAGGCCGGGCCUCAGACAGGUCGUCACAGCCUGACCCUCGUUUGUCCUCCUGGUCCUGUGGGUCACGCUGAGUUCCGGAUGGAUCUGGAAGGUACCUCUGAACCUAUUGUUACAGAGAGAGCUGCAGAGCCCCAGUGAUGGGGAACCCUCUCCCCCAAGAACCAGAAGCUGGAGAGCUGAGGACACACCCCUGCUGGAUCAGGCGCGAUCUGGGGAAAU
Long non-coding RNA from Hipposideros armiger (great roundleaf bat), 712 nucleotides. RefSeq lists it as uncharacterized. NCBI's taxonomy places the organism in Eukaryota, Metazoa, Chordata, Mammalia, Chiroptera, Hipposideridae. The record is from RefSeq and is a predicted model, not a curated record. The transcript has 3 exons.